GACGAACGCUGGCGGCGUGCUUAACACAUGCAAGUCGAACGGAAAGGCCCUGCUUUUGUGGGGUGCUCGAGUGGCGAACGGGUGAGUAACACGUGAGUAACCUGCCCUUGACUUUGGGAUAACUUCAGGAAACUGGGGCUAAUACCGGAUAGGAGCUCCUGCUGCAUGGUGGGGGUUGGAAAGUUUCGGCGGUUGGGGAUGGACUCGCGGCUUAUCAGCUUGUUGGUGGGGUAGUGGCUUACCAAGGCUUUGACGGGUAGCCGGCCUGAGAGGGUGACCGGCCACAUUGGGACUGAGAUACGGCCCAGACUCCUACGGGAGGCAGCAGUGGGGAAUAUUGCACAAUGGGCGGAAGCCUGAUGCAGCAACGCCGCGUGCGGGAUGACGGCCUUCGGGUUGUAAACCGCUUUCGCCUGUGACGAAGCGUGAGUGACGGUAAUGGGUGAAGAAGCACCGGCUAACUACGUGCCAGCAGCCGCGGUGAUACGUAGGGUGCGAGCGUUGUCCGGAUUUAUUGGGCGUAAAGGGCUCGUAGGUGGUUGAUCGCGUCGGAAGUGUAAUCUUGGGGCUUAACCCUGAGCGUGCUUUCGAUACGGGUUGACUUGAGGAAGGUAGGGGAGAAUGGAAUUCCUGGUGGAGCGGUGGAAUGCGCAGAUAUCAGGAGGAACACCAGUGGCGAAGGCGGUUCUCUGGGCCUUUCCUGACGCUGAGGAGCGAAAGCGUGGGGAGCGAACAGGCUUAGAUACCCUGGUAGUCCACGCUGUAAACGGUGGGUACUAGGUGUGGGGUCCAUUCCACGGGUUCCGUGCCGUAGCUAACGCUUUAAGUACCCCGCCUGGGGAGUACGGCCGCAGGGCUAAAACUCAAAGGAAUUGACGGGGCCCCGCACAAGCGGCGGAGCAUGCGGAUUAAUUCGAUGCAACGCGUAGAACCUUACCUGGGUUUGACAUGGAUCGGGAGUGCUCAGAGAUGGGUGUGCCUCUUUUGGGGUCGGUUCACAGGUGGUGCAUGGCUGUCGUCAGCUCGUGUCGUGAGAUGUUGGGUUAAGUCCCGCAACGAGCGCAACCCUUGUUCACUGUUGCCAGCACGUUAUGGUGGGGACUCAGUGGAGACCGCCGGGGUCAACUCGGAGGAAGGUGGGGAUGACGUCAAGUCAUCAUGCCCCUUAUGUCCAGGGCUUCACGCAUGCUACAAUGGCUGGUACAGAGAGUGGCGAGCCUGUGAGGGUGAGCGAAUCUCGGAAAGCCGGUCUCAGUUCGGAUUGGGGUCUGCAACUCGACCUCAUGAAGUCGGAGUCACUAGUAAUCGCAGAUCAGCAACGCUGCGGUGAAUACGUUCCCGGG
RNAcentral lists this ribosomal RNA (1343 nucleotides) under uncultured bacterium. RNAcentral's name for it is "16S ribosomal RNA". It matches the Rfam family "Bacterial small subunit ribosomal RNA", at positions 28 to 1378 of the family's 1533-position model. The record is from RNAcentral.